GAUGAACGCUGGCGGCGUGCCUAAUACAUGCAAGUCGAGCGAACGGACGAGAAGCUUGCUUCUCUGAUGUUAGCGGCGGACGGGUGAGUAACACGUGGAUAACCUACCUAUAAGACUGGGAUAACUUCGGGAAACCGGAGCUAAUACCGGAUAAUAUUUUGAACCGCAUGGUUCAAAAGUAAAAGACGGUCUUGCUGUCACUUAUAGAUGGAUCCGCGCUGCAUUAGCUAGUUGGUAAGGUAACGGCUUACCAAGGCAACGAUGCAUAGCCGACCUGAGAGGGUGAUCGGCCACACUGGAACUGAGACACGGUCCAGACUCCUACGGGAGGCAGCAGUAGGGAAUCUUCCGCAAUGGGCGAAAGCCUGACGGAGCAACGCCGCGUGAGUGAUGAAGGUCUUCGGAUCGUAAAACUCUGUUAUUAGGGAAGAACAUAUGUGUAAGAAACUGUGCACAUCUUGACGGUACCUAAUCAGAAAGCCACGGCUAACUACGUG
RNAcentral lists this ribosomal RNA (497 nucleotides) under uncultured bacterium. RNAcentral describes it as "partial 16S ribosomal RNA". It matches the Rfam family "Bacterial small subunit ribosomal RNA", at positions 28 to 507 of the family's 1533-position model. The record is from RNAcentral.